RNAcentral lists this ribosomal RNA (444 nucleotides) under Bacillus sp. (in: firmicutes). Its description in RNAcentral is "bacterial SSU rRNA". It matches the Rfam family "Bacterial small subunit ribosomal RNA", at positions 55 to 480 of the family's 1533-position model. Lineage: Bacteria; Bacillati; Bacillota; Bacilli; Caryophanales; Bacillaceae. The record is from RNAcentral.
AUGCAAGUCGAGCGAACUGAUUAGAAGCUUGCUUCUAUGACGUUAGCGGCGGACGGGUGAGUAACACGUGGGCAACCUGCCUGUAAGACUGGGAUAACUUCGGGAAACCGAAGCUAAUACCGGAUAGGAUCUUCUCCUUCAUGGGAGAUGAUUGAAAGAUGGUUUCGGCUAUCACUUACAGAUGGGCCCGCGGUGCAUUAGCUAGUUGGUGAGGUAACGGCUCACCAAGGCAACGAUGCAUAGCCGACCUGAGAGGGUGAUCGGCCACACUGGGACUGAGACACGGCCCAGACUCCUACGGGAGGCAGCAGUAGGGAAUCUUCCGCAAUGGACGAAAGUCUGACGGAGCAACGCCGCGUGAGUGAUGAAGGCUUUCGGGUCGUAAAACUCUGUUGUUAGGGAAGAACAAGUACAAGAGUAACUGCUCGUACCUUGACGGUACCU